ACGGUGGCCGCAGAGAAUAGGCCCAAGCGACUGUUUACCAAAAACAUAGGUUUCUGCUAAGUCGCAAGACGAUGUAUAGGAGCUGACGCCUGCCCGGUGCUGGAAGGUUAAGGGGAUCUGUUAGAGCAAUCGAAGCAGUGAACUUAAGCCCCAGUAAACGGCGGCCGUAACUAUAACGGUCCUAAGGUAGCGAAAUUCCUUGUCGGGUAAGUUCCGACCCGCACGAAAGGCGUAACGAUUUGGGCACUGUCUCA
This 254-nucleotide ribosomal RNA is filed under the name Clostridioides sp. ES-S-0001-02. RNAcentral describes it as "partial 23S ribosomal RNA". It matches the Rfam family "Bacterial large subunit ribosomal RNA", at positions 1770 to 2023 of the family's 2925-position model. RNAcentral also lists the same sequence under 1 other name. Lineage: Bacteria; Bacillati; Bacillota; Clostridia; Peptostreptococcales; Peptostreptococcaceae. The record is from RNAcentral.